This 751-nucleotide small RNA is filed under the name Pongo abelii (Sumatran orangutan). RNAcentral's name for it is "retained intron". Lineage: Eukaryota; Metazoa; Chordata; Mammalia; Primates; Hominidae. The record is from RNAcentral.
UUCAAGGUCUACAGACAGAGUGUUACAGUGGGAAAGAAUUGAUUGCCAAGGAAUUCCUCCAUCAUCAAAGGACAAACUUGGUGUCUGGGUAUAUAAAAACAAGUUAAUAUUUUUUGGAGGGUAUGGAUAUUUGCCUGAAGAUAAAGUAUUGGGAACUUUUGAAUUCGAUGAAACAUCUUUUUGGAAUUCAAGUCAUCCAAGAGGAUGGAAUGAUCAUGUACAUAUUUUAGAUACUGAAACAUUUACCUGGAGCCAGCCUAUAACUACUGGUAAAGCACCUUCACCUCGUGCUGCCCAUGCCUGUGCAACUGUCGGAAAUAGAGGCUUUGUGUUUGGAGGCAGAUAUCGAGUAAGUAUUCAAAGAACUUCAAUGACUUGCUUUUGAAUUCUUCAAAAUGGUAACUUAAUUAUCCUUUUUUAGGAUGCUAGAAUGAAUGAUCUUCACUAUCUUAAUCUGGAUACAUGGGAGUGGAAUGAAUUAAUUCCACAAGGCAUAUGCCCAGUUGGUCGAUCUUGGCACUCACUAACACCAGUUUCUUCAGAUCAUCUUUUUCUCUUUGGAGGAUUUACCACUGAUAAACAGCCACUAAGUGAUGCCUGGACUUACUGCAUCAGUAAAAAUGAAUGGAUACAAUUUAAUCAUCCAUAUACUGAAAAACCAAGGUUAUGGCACACAGCUUGUGCCAGCGAUGAAGGAGAAGUGAUUGUUUUUGGUGGAUGUGCCAACAACUUGCUUGUCCAUCACAGAGCU